Vicia faba (fava bean) is the source of this 744-nucleotide non-coding RNA. Lineage: Eukaryota; Viridiplantae; Streptophyta; Magnoliopsida; Fabales; Fabaceae. The record is from the annotation of a GenBank genome assembly.
AUGGCAGGAACAUAUCAACACACCAGCAAUGAUAACAAUGAAGAUAGAGACAGAUUCAGCGGCAAACCUCCAGUCUUUUAUGGAGAGAAUUUUGAUUACUGGAAAGACAGAAUUGAAAGCUUCUUUCUGGCACAUGAUGCUGAUCUGUGGGACAUGGUGACAGAUGGAUACACGCACCCAGUGAAUGCAAGUGGUCAGAAGAUUGACAGGAAGGCAAUGUCUGAUCAACAAAAGCGUGACUUCAAAAAUCACCACAAGGCCAUAACUAUUCUUCUCAGCACCAUCUCUUACGCUGAAUAUGAAAAAAUAUCUAACAGAGACACUGCAAAGAGUAUGUUUGACUCUCUCAGAAUGACGCAUGAAGGCAACAUUCAGGUCAAAGAAACUAAAGCUCUUGCGCUCAUUCAGAAGUAUGAGGCAUUCAAAAUGGAAGAAAGUGAAUCAAUUGAAACAAUGUUCUCAAGAUUUCAAAUUCUGGUGGCUGGUCUCAAAGUUCUGGACAAAGGGUAUUCUACUGCUAAUCAUGUCAAGAAGAUCAUCAGAAGCUUGCCAAAACAGUGGAGGCCAAUGGUUACAGCGCUGAAGCUAGCUAAAGAUCUCUACAAAAUCUCUCUGGAGGAACUUAUCAGCUCCCUCAGAAGUCACGAGAUAGAGCUAGAAGCUGAUGAACCUCAAAAGCAAGGUAAGCCUUUAGCUUUAAAAUCUAACAGAAAAUCUGACUCCAAAGUUUUGCAGGCUGUUGAA